This 253-nucleotide ribosomal RNA is filed under the name uncultured bacterium. Its description in RNAcentral is "partial 16S ribosomal RNA". It matches the Rfam family "Bacterial small subunit ribosomal RNA", at positions 524 to 776 of the family's 1533-position model. The record is from RNAcentral.
GACAGAGGGGGCAAGCGUUGCUCGGAAUUACUGGGCGUAAAGGGCGCGUAGGCGGAAUGGCAAGUCGGUCGUGAAAUCCUUCGGCUCAACCGAAGAACGUCGAUCGAAACUUCCGUUCUUGAGGAUUGCAGAGGAGACUGGAAUUCCCGGUGUAGCGGUGAAAUGUGUAGAUAUCCGGAGGAACACCGGUGGCGAAGGCGGCUUCCUGGACCGACACUGACGCUGAGGCGCGAAAGCUAGGGGAGCAAACGGG